Molecule: ribosomal RNA, 494 nt
Filed under: uncultured bacterium
Lineage: Bacteria
Description: partial 16S ribosomal RNA
Rfam family: Bacterial small subunit ribosomal RNA
Source: RNAcentral
GACGAACGCUGGCGGCGUGCCUAAUACAUGCAAGUAGAACGCUGAAGGAGGAGCUUGCUUCUCUGGAUGAGUUGCGAACGGGUGAGUAACGCGUAGGUAACCUGCCUGGUAGCGGGGGAUAACUAUUGGAAACGAUAGCUAAUACCGCAUAAUAGUAGAUGUUGCAUGACAUUUGCUUAAAAGGUGCAAUUGUAUCACUACCAGAUGGACCUGCGUUGUAUUAGCUAGUUGGUGAGGUAACGGCUCACCAAGGCAACGAUACAUAGCCGACCUGAGAGGGUGAUCGGCCACACUGGGACUGAGACACGGCCCAGACUCCUACGGGAGGCAGCAGUAGGGAAUCUUCGGCAAUGGACGGAAGUCUGACCGAGCAACGCCGCGUGAGUGAAGAAGGUUUUCGGAUCGUAAAGCUCUGUUGUAAGAGAAGAACGAGUGUGAGAGUGGAAAGUGCACACUGUGACGGUAUCUUACCAGAAAGGGACGGCUAACUACGU